Molecule: ribosomal RNA, 458 nt
Filed under: uncultured bacterium
Lineage: Bacteria
Description: partial 16S ribosomal RNA
Rfam family: Bacterial small subunit ribosomal RNA
Source: RNAcentral
CCUACGGGUGGCAGCAGUGAGGAAUAUUGGUCAAUGGGCGAGAGCCUGAACCAGCCCAGUCGCGUGAGGGAGUACUGCCCUAUGGGUUGUAAACCUCUUUUGUCGGGGAGCAAAAGCCGGACGUGUCCGUCUGUUAGAGUACCCGAAGAAAAAGCAUCGGCUAACUCCGUGCCAGCAGCCGCGGUAAUCCGGGGGACGCGAGCAUUAUCCGGAUUUAUUGGGUUUAAAGGGUGCGCAGGCGGAUUUUUAAUUCAGCGGUCAAAUCGUGGGGCUCAACCCCAUCCAGCCGUUGACACUGGGGAUCUAGAGUGUGCGAGAGGUAUGCGGAAUUCCUAGUGUAGCGGUGAAAUGCGUAGAGAUUAGGAGGAACACCAGUGGCGAAGGCGGCCUGCUGGACGACAACUGACGGUGAGGCGCGAAAGCGUGGGGAGCAAACAGGAUUAGAUACCCCAGUAGUC